GUUCUGGGCCGCACGCGCGCUACACUGACAGAGCCAGCGAGUCUACCACCUUUGCCGGAAGGCAUGGGUAAUCUUGUGAAACUCUGUCGUGAUGGGGAUAGAGCAUUGCAAUUAUUGCUCUUCAACGAGGAAUACCUAGUAAGCGUGAUUCAUCAGAUCGCGUUGAUUACGUCCCUGCCCUUUGUACACACCGCCCGUCGCUACUACCGAUUGAAUGGCUUAGUGAGGCCUCCGGAUUGGCUAUUGGGAGCUCGCGAGAGCACCCGACUGCCGAGAAGUUGUACGAACUUGGUCAUUUAGAGGAAGUAAAAGUCGUAACAAGGUUUCCGUAGGUGAACCUGCGGAAGGAUCAUUAGUGAAUAUUAGGGCGUCCAACUUAACUUGGAGCCCGAACUCUCACUUUCUAACCCUGUGCAUCUGUUUCUGGUCAGUAGCUCUCUCGGGAGUGAACGCCAUUCACUUAAAAACACAAAGUCUAUGAAUGUAUAAAAUUUAUAACAAAACAAAACUUUCAACAACGGAUCUCUUGGCUCUCGCAUCGAUGAAGAACGCAGCGAAAUGCGAUAAGUAAUGUGAAUUGCAGAAUUCAGUGAAUCAUCGAAUCUUUGAACGCACCUUGCGCUCUCUGGUAUUCCGGAGAGCAUGCCUGUUUGAGUGUCAUGAAAUCUUCAACCCUCUCUUUUCUUAGUGAAUCGAGAGGUGCUUGGAUCCUGAGCGCUGCUGGCUUCGGCCUAGCUCGUUCGUAAUGCAUUAGCAUCCGCAAUCGAACUUCGGAUUGACUUGGCGUAAUAAACUAUUCGCUGAGGAUUCUGGUCUCGUACCAAAACCGGGUUGGGUUUAAAGGAAGCUUCUAAUCCUUAAAAGUCUAACUUUUUGAUUAAGAUCUCAAAUCAGGGAGGGACUUCCCCCCUGAACUUAAGCAUAUCAAUUAGCGGGAGGAAAAGAAACUAACAGGGAUUCCCUAAUAACCGCCAACCAAACCGGGAAAACUCCAAAUUUUUAAACUGGGGCUUUUA
Molecule: ribosomal RNA, 1016 nt
Filed under: Sporidiobolales sp. LM8
Lineage: Eukaryota; Fungi; Basidiomycota; Microbotryomycetes; Sporidiobolales
Description: eukaryotic LSU rRNA
Rfam family: Eukaryotic small subunit ribosomal RNA (bases 1-355)
Source: RNAcentral